This 572-nucleotide small nuclear RNA is filed under the name Saccharomyces x bayanus. Its description in RNAcentral is "Saccharomyces bayanus Yeast U1 spliceosomal RNA". It matches the Rfam family "Yeast U1 spliceosomal RNA". Rfam says of the family: U1 is a small nuclear RNA (snRNA) component of the spliceosome (involved in pre-mRNA splicing). The record is from Rfam by way of RNAcentral. Lineage: Eukaryota; Fungi; Ascomycota; Saccharomycetes; Saccharomycetales; Saccharomycetaceae.
AUACUUACCUUAAGAUAUCAGAGGAGAUCAAGAAGUCCUACUGAUCAAACAUGCGCUUCCAAUGGUAGAAGGAUGUUAAGCAUUUAUCUCUGAAUUAUUAAUAAUUCUCUGAAAUAAUUGAUGCAAACUCCUUGGUCACUUACACAUACAUUGCGGAAGGCGUGUUUGCUGACGUUCCGUUCCCUUGUUUCAAUCAUCGAUUAUCCCUGUGGUUUCUUUGGAAAUCGCGGGGUUCAAUUGAUUUUUGAGGCCCUUUGUUUCUUCUGCCUGGAGAAGUUUGACACCAAAUUCAAAUUGGUGUUAGGGGAGUUGGGGCCUUUUAGAAGAGAGUGUUGUUGAGGUAUUCUUAUAGUGUACUUUCCUCUAGCGCACCGUUCAAUCUUUUAGAUGGCUGAUUCUCAUGGACUUUUAGUUCAUGAUGAAGGUAUAGCCGUUGGGGUUGGCCGGUCAGGACUGUAUAUUUGAGGAUGCGUUCUUUUGAGCAAUCUCGGUUUCACUCGUUGUCAUUUAUGAGAAAAAUUCUGGAAGGUCUUGGUAGGAACGGGUGGAUCUUAUAAUUUUUGAUUUAUUUU